CGGUAGAGGGGGCAACCCCUUGAGAGUGGCGAACGGGUGAGUAAUGUAUCGGAACGUGCCCAGUCGUGGGGGAUAACGUAGUGAAAAUUACGCUAAUACCGCAUACGAUCUAUGGAUGAAAGCGGGGGAUCGCAAGACCUCGCGCGAUUGGAGCGGCCGAUAUCAGAUUAGGUAGUUGGUAGGGUAAAGGCCUACCAAGCCAACGAUCUGUAGCUGGUCUGAGAGGACGACCAGCCACACUGGAACUGAGACACGGUCCAGACUCCUACGGGAGGCAGCAGUGGGGAAUUUUGGACAAUGGGCGAAAGCCUGAUCCAGCCAUUCCGCGUGCAGGAUGAAGGCCCUCGGGUUGUAAACUGCUUUUGUACAGAACGAAAAGGUUUCUAUUAAUACUAGGAGCUCAUGACGGUACUGUAAGAAUAAGCACCGGCUAACUACGUGCCAGCAGCCGCGGUAAUACGUAGGGUGCAAGCGUUAAUCGGAAUUACUGGGCGUAAAGCGUGCGC
Molecule: ribosomal RNA, 506 nt
Filed under: uncultured beta proteobacterium
Lineage: Bacteria; Pseudomonadati; Pseudomonadota; Betaproteobacteria
Description: bacterial SSU rRNA
Rfam family: Bacterial small subunit ribosomal RNA
Source: RNAcentral